Mercenaria mercenaria is the source of this 4100-nucleotide long non-coding RNA. RefSeq lists it as uncharacterized. The transcript has 3 exons. NCBI's taxonomy places the organism in Eukaryota, Metazoa, Mollusca, Bivalvia, Venerida, Veneridae. The record is from RefSeq and is a predicted model, not a curated record.
UUCUUUGUUCUUCAUACUACUUUAGCAGUAACAAAAAAAUGCAAACAACUAGUUUCAAAUUCCUGACGUCUUCGACAAAGAUUAAAGUAUUAUAUUUUUUACAAAUUUAAAAGUGAUUUCGAGUAAAUUCAAACUACAUGAGCGAACUCAAAUAACAGCUUAGGUCAUGAAAGUCAUGCGCUUGAACAAGUCGAAGGUAUCCCUUCAUACAUUUACCAGUAGAAAUGAAUUUAAGACUUAGGUAGCAUGCAUUUCCACUACCGUCCAUUAACAGGCUCAAACAAACCGAGCCUGCAAAAUUAUUUUGUUGUGUUGAGCGACCUAUGGAGAUUCCAUUUUUUCUAUUUUAGCCUAACAUUUUGAGAAAAAAAUCAAACAAUACCAGAUCAUAGAAAGAAAAGGGUGUUUCAUGUGAAAAUUUAACAGCAUAUAAAACAUGUAUAUUACUUUAUACAACAAUUAUCAGUUUAAUAAUAUUUAUAUAGAAAAGCGGAAAGGAGUUGCAUAAAGGUGCCACACUUUCGGACAGUUCAGCGCCUUUAGAAACGCACCAUUUUCAACGAAAUGUUACAUAUGUUUUCGUUUCGAUGCAUUGCAAUAAUGUCCCAGUGCUAAAAUUUCACAUAACUACGUUGAACGUAGUUUUCUGCUAUUGUUUAUUUUUAUUUCUUUACAAAUGGUACUCAUUUUUAAAGGGGGACAAAGUUUUGAGAAUCGUGCAGGACAGUACGUCAUAAUAUGAAAUGGUCAGGUAGAUUGUUGGUAAUGAUGUUGCUCGUUUUUCAAAUAUUUCUGUGUUUUCAAGAUAUACUUCUAAACCUUAAGACCAAAACAUACCUAAAUUACCUUUUUAUAAUGAAUUCACAGUUCGCAUUUACUGGACUUCUAAACAGGGAGACUUGAUUUUGAAUCCCUAUCGGACCUGUCCUGGAAUGACCUAACUGAAAAUUAUUAUAGUAUGAUUAUUCUAUCAGAAAUGUACUAAAUUUACUGAUAUUGAAGAACUCAAAUCUUUGUCAUAAAAUUUAACAUUGUCAGGACAACAUGCAUUUCAGUACAUACAACCUGUCUUAUCUCACGGACUCAAAUUUAUUAAAAAAGGUUUUCCAUCCGUUUACGGCAUAUUUUAGUUGUAUCGAAAUCGUAGAGCUGUCAAUUGUUACUAGCAAGCACAGUUGAAGAUCCAAGUACAUCUAAACAUUGAUUCUAGCAUAAAACUACUGUUUUGUCACUUUUCGGGGGUGUUUUAACAGGAGAGAAAACGUGUGUUAACACAGAGAUUCUCGCGCUCGCGUGCUGUUAUAACACCUUUUUAUAUAUGCGCGUUCCGUGGCAAAGCAUAAACGUCAUUCGACCCCAAAACGGAUAAUUCAAAACGAAAUGACGUCAACGUUAAAAACAACCUAGACAUUCCCGCGCAUUUGGUGGAACAUUAAUGACGUUGAGAGACAUUUUAUCCAUUUAUCAGCGGUUUCUACGCGUUUUGUGCUAGAAUAGCGUUAGCGCAUGUUCAUUUCGUGUUAUAACAUUUACAGAAUCCCUCGGGAUACGUUGGUACCCUCGCCCUAACGGGCUCGUGUACCAACCAAUCCCUCGGGAUUCUGCAGACUUUAUAACACGAAAAAACAUGCGUUAUCUCUACAUUUGUCUCUAAUAAUAAUUUAGGUUUUUCUCAAUCUCAUUUUAAACGUAUAUAUAGCGGAUUCCCUAAUUCACGACCGGAUAAUGUGCCACUGUUCAAAGUAUUUAAUUCGGUAUUCGUUUGGUUGCUUUCCCUUCCGGCAUUAAGUAUAUGUACGGCUCAUCUGGAUUUCUUUUAUUAAUUCUUUACCUUUUAGCACUUUUAUAACAUAUCGUGCUAUUUGAUGCUUUUCUUUUAUUCUAAAAGAAAAAAAUGAAACAUGUCUUCUAAUAGUAUUUACAAGAAGUGCCGCAUGUUAUAUUAUACACCUUCAAUAGUGUUAGAAUAAUAAAUUAUGAAUGGAGACAACAUCGAUAGCUAUCUGAUUGCCGGCCAGCAUUCAUACCUACUGUUAGCUUCAGUGCUUUUUAUUGCAAAUUGUUACGUUAAAAAUCUUGACUGGAACGUCUCAAGGGGAAUUUAAUCUUUAAGUUCUAAUAAAAUUUGCUAUCAAAAUUUGUAAACAUAGGGCCACGCACUAAAUAAUUCAUCUUUUGCUGAUGACGUUGCCACAUUUUCGGCAGCUAGUUUUCUUGACCCUUCGCCGAAAUCUGAAGAAAAAUGCUUACGAAAUGUUCGCUUUUUUUUGCAUAGCUCUUUUUCCGGGACCAUGCACUAUAAACAUUUCUCAUAGUGACGUAAUAACAUUUCCAGCGGCCUGCGUUCUGGAGACAUAACCAAAAUCUAAAGUUACACGUUUUGCAGUGUUACUCUCUAGUAUUUAUUGAAGCCGCAUGAGUCAAGUGUUCUGCUUUCAAGGUCCAUAAACUCUUUAACGACUAUCGCGUGAUGACGAUAUUGCGUCAAUUUCAGGAGCAUGAACUCGUCAGUCGCAAUCAACAUUUGGAAUAUCAUCAAGAUUAGACUGAAUAAUUCUUUUUCUUGGUCCCACAAAUGCUCAUAUAAGGAUUAUAAGGAUUAUUGAGAGGCGAAAAGAAAAUCAAUACGCGUAAAAUUAUGACAAGUUGGCAAAAAUGCUUAAAAGUACACAUUUGUAUUAAUAAAUUAAGUGGCGGCAUCAGAGGGAAACAUGAAAAAGGACGAUUUAGAAAAAAAAGCUAUUGUGACAUGUAAGCGGUCAAAAUAUGAACAACCGUUAAAAUCAGUGGGAUAGAUGCUUUUUCAGAAGCAAAGGAUGAGCUCUUUUAGCGACAAUAUUUAUUCUUUUUGUUUUCAGCAAGCAGACAUGUAUUAAAAUAAUGAACUCGAAACCUUUUUAUUCACAUCUAUUGGGAUAUUAUUAUGUUAACUACUAGUAUUGUAACACUAUUUAUAUGUUUCAGAAUUAUAUUUCGAUGUACUGCGUCUCAGCGAUAUAUGACCUUUUUGUGUCUCUUCACCGUAAAACCAAACUCCCUCGCUCACAUGUCAAAACAUGACCAGUAUCUUAUGCUGUCUCUGUUGUACAAUUCAUUAAUUGUAUUAGUACAAUGAUUUUCACGAAGCUGUCACGAAUUGAACUUAAAAGCUAAUUUUGAUAUUUUUUUUCUAAAUAUGGAACUUGAUAAUCUUUAAUUAAACAUGAAAGGUCACGAAUUCUGUUCUGAUAGCAACAUAAUAUGUUAAACAGAACAAAAUGACGGGCAACAUUACUGUGUUAUUGUUUUGCCUUGUAAUAAACGUUCACAUUUUUGUCAGCGAGGUGCAAGGGUCGCAGAAGAAAGGUGUGGCAGCAUGGGGUGAGGUCCUUCUAUGCAAUGAUUUCAAGGUUCUAAGUAAUAUUUCAUGGUGGUAUGACUGGAAGAACAAUCUCACAUUUUACCAUAGAACAGUAACAGCAAAUUGUCCAACUCCAGAAAACGCAAUGCCAGAGUUUGUGCCGAUGGUUUGGAGAAACUGUCUCUAACUGGAUGUCAUGAGUAAUGUAUCUUUCGUGUUGGCAUUUAACGAGCCAGACCGGCUGGACCAAACAUACAUGACACCACAGCAAGUGGCUGACCUUUGGCCUCAAAUUGAAAAGAACUCCACUUCUUUUCAUAAUUUUCAUUGGUACAACGAAUUCUUCAGAAUAUGCAAUAGCUGUCGUACAGACUUUGUUGCCGCACAUGCGUAUAGUUGCGAUGCAAGCCAUAAUGUCAUAUUUGCAAAAACUGCACCAUAGAUGCAAGAAGAAGAUUUGGUUGACAGAGUUUGCAUGUCCUCAUUCGGCGGACGAGAAUCACCAACUGCAUUUAAUGCAUACUUUACUAACACAGGUGGCAGCUGCGGAUUACGUAUUUAGAUAUUCCUGGUUCAUGGCUAGAGUGAAGCGUGUGUUUGAUAAUGGAUAUAUUCACCCUGCUGCAAGUCUCCUUCGUAACGAAUCCUCAACGCUGACGAAGAUUGGCCAGUUCCUCAAUGAUUGCCAUGGCAACGCCAACGUUCCUCAAGUUGUCGGUUGAUUUAUCGAAUAAAAUGACAAUGUUUGGAAAUUGUAUGC